This is an RNA transcript of Propithecus coquereli (Coquerel's sifaka), 1630 nucleotides long. It is a transcript of the gene named dynein light chain roadblock-type 1 pseudogene, with no coding region annotated. The transcript has a single exon. Lineage: Eukaryota; Metazoa; Chordata; Mammalia; Primates; Indriidae. The record is from RefSeq and is a predicted model, not a curated record.
UCAGGGAUACAGUAUCACAAGAGCCAAGAGAAGGGUUGAGAAAAAAUGGUUCACUAUCAAAUGUGACAGAAAUAGAGAAUGAGAACAUUUUCGAAGUGGAAAAUCACUGGUGACUUUUGAGAAUAGUUUUAAUAGAGCAGUCAGAGUAGAUAUCUGAUUGCUAAGUCAUCUCUAAAUAAUUCUUCAGAGUUGGCAGACGCAGAAAGGCUGGGGACUGGGCUGCGAGUCAGCGACGCAGAGCUACUGAAUCGGUCCAAAAUGGCAGAGGUGGAGGAGACACUGAAGCGACUUCAGAGCCAGAAAGGAGUGCAGGGAAUCAUCGUGGUGAACACAGAAGGCAUUCCCAUCAAGAUCACCAUGGACAAUCCCACCACCACACAGUACAACAACCUCAUGCACAACUUCAUCUUGAAAGCACGGAGCACUGUGCGUGAAACUGACCCCCAGAAUGACCUCACUUCGAAUUUGCUUCAAGAAAAAUGAAAUUAUGGUUGCACCACAUAAAGCCUAUUUCCUGAUUGUGAUUCAGAAUCCAACAGAAUAAGCCACACUCUUGGCUCCUUGUGUCAUUCCUUAAUUUAAUGCCCCCCAAGAAUAAUAAUGUUCAUCAUGUCAGCAGACUGGCACGUGGAAAUUGCCUUAGAGCCCACUCAGAUCAAUCCAGUGACCAUGGGUGGGCUGGCAGCUCUGCCCACCCCGCCAAAGGAAUCCCCCUGCUGCGCCAGUCUCCCCAGAGUUCCCAGGAGGGCCCUCUGUCCUCACUUCCAGGUUUUGGAGCAAGAGCUUGUGAGAAGCCCACACCCGGCUUCCUCCUGACCUUCAGUUCACUUUGUUGCCCUUGGAAAAAGCUGCUGUUUUUCUUUAACUGAAAGUAACUGAAAUGCUUAAAAAAAAUAAUAAUUCUUCAGAGUUAAGUUUGCAAUACAAAGCAAUAAGGUGGGUGAUAACAUCUUAAUUAACUGAUCUCUAUUGAGCAAAUAUCCUGCAGUCUGCACCCCAGGAGUCACCAUUUUGUUCAUGAGAGGCAGCAGACCACAGUGCAAAGAGCACUGGCUGGGGGAGUUCAGGGCCCUGGGCAGCAGAGUGCUCACUGGUCCUUAACUUCCAUGCAACUGUAGAGUCCCUUCCCUCUAUGGUUAAAUGUGUUUCCCCAUUUGUAACUGAGAGUGGGACUAGCUGAUCCCAAACACCCCUACCGGCUCUAACAUUCACCAGCCUCAGAGCUUUUGCAUUUGCAGUUCCCUCUGCCCAGAAAUCUCUUCUCCCAACUACUCACAUGGCUCACUCCCUUACCUCCUUUCUCAGCUUUGCGUUAAGGCCAGACUAUCACCUGCCUGGUGAGAUCUUCCUUAGCCCCACUUUCCCUAGCACUACCUUUCCCCACUGCCUGCUUUAUAUUCCUCCAUAACACUAAUCACUACCUGAUAUACUGUUUUAUUUGUUUAUUGCCAAUUUUCCCCACUAGACUCUAAAUUCCAUUAAAGCAGUGAUUUUGUUCACUGUUCUGUGAUGUGCUUGGCAUAAAGUAGGCAAGCAAACAUCUGUUGAAGGAAUGAAUGAAAUGCCAGCUCCGAUCCCCAAAUUACAGUGGCCACACUGGAGAAAAUUUUCUUUAGGAGGCUCAAUUCUA